UGAAUACGAGACGCUAAGGCGUCGAAGUAGUGUAUGUCAUACUUCCAAGAAAAGCUUGCACUGUCAUAGAUAAAAAACGCCUGUACCAUAACCGACACAGGUGGGUAGGUAGAGUAUACUAAGGGGCGCGAGAUAACUCUCUCUAAGGAACUCGGCAAAAUGACUCCGUAACUUCGGGAGAAGGAGUGCCUUAUUCUUAAGGUUGCAAUAACAAGAUCCAAGCAACUGUUUAUCAAAAACACAGGUCUCCGCUAAGUCGUAAGACGAUGUAUGGGGGCUGACGCCUGCCCAGUGCCAGAAGGUUAAAGAAGUUGGUUAGCAUUUGCGAAGCUGAUAACUGAAGCCCUGGUGAACGGCGGCCGUAACUAUAACGGUCCUAAGGUAGCGAAAUUCCUUGUCGGGUAAGUUCCGACCCGCACGAAAGGCGUAAUGAUUUGGAUACUGUCUCGGAGAGGGGCUCGGUGAAAUAGACUUGUCUGUGAAGAUGCGGACUACCUGCACCAGGACAGAAAGACCCUAUGAAGCUUUACUGUAACUUGAAAUUGAAAUUGGACUUUAUUCGCGCAGUAUAGGUGGGAGGCGUUGAUUAUAAUCUUGCGGGAUUAUUGGAGCCAUCAGUGAGAUACCACCCUUGUAAUGUUAGAUUUCUAACUUUGAAUCAUUAUCUGGUCAAAGAACAGUUUCAGGCGGGCAGUUUGACUGGGGCGGUCGCCUCCUAAACGGUAACGGAGGCGUACAAAGGUUUCCUCUGAACGGUUAGAAAUCGUAUCUAGAGUGUAAAGGCAUAAGGAAGCUUGACUGUGAGACCUACAAGUCGAGCAGGGACGAAAGUCGGUCUUAGUGAUCUGACGGUACUGAGUGGAAAGGCCGUCACUCAACGGAUAAAAGUUACUCUAAGGAUAACAGGCUGAUCUCCCCCAAGAGUUCACAUCGACGGGGAGGUUUGGCACCUCGAUGUCGGCUCAUCGCAUCCUGGGGCGGUAGUACGUCCCAAGGGUUGGGCUGUUCGCCCAUGAAAGCGGUACGCGAGCUGGGUUCAGAACGUCGUGAGACAGUUCGGUCCAUAUCCGGUGUAGGCGUUAGAAUAUUGAGAGGAGCCUUCUUUAGUACGAGAGGACCGAGAAGGACAUACCUCUGGUGUACCAGUUAUCGUGCCAACGGUAAACGCUGGGUAGCUAUGUAUGGAGUGGAUAACCGCUGAAAGCAUCUAAGUGGGAAGCCCACCUCAAGAUAAG
RNAcentral lists this ribosomal RNA (1235 nucleotides) under metagenome. Its description in RNAcentral is "bacterial LSU rRNA". It matches the Rfam family "Bacterial large subunit ribosomal RNA", at positions 1564 to 2808 of the family's 2925-position model. The record is from RNAcentral.